Hippopotamus amphibius kiboko is the source of this 459-nucleotide long non-coding RNA. RefSeq lists it as uncharacterized. The transcript has 3 exons. Lineage: Eukaryota; Metazoa; Chordata; Mammalia; Artiodactyla; Hippopotamidae. The record is from RefSeq and is a predicted model, not a curated record.
GCUGGACCCCCGUGCUGGAGCGGUCUCGGGGCUGCGUGCACGUCCGUCCCCCGGGUCAGGCUCCCCCUGCUGCAGCUGCACUGGCCUCCCACAAUUCCCUGAGCAGGACAGACGAAUCCUGCCCUCCAGCCUUGGAGUGGCUCCUUCCUCUCACUAGUUUCUCCAAGAGUGAAAGCAUGGGUCACUCUGUUUAAUCCAGCCGUCUGUGUGUUCCUGAGCCAACAUGCACUCCAGAGUGGGGCGCAGGCUUGUGCAGCACCCCAGCUCUGUCCCAGCCCUCUGACCCAGAAGCUGGAGAUGACAGCCAUGUGCCUCCCGUGCGCUGACGUCCCCCUGCAGCGGGUGGAGCAGAAGUAGUGAGUGCCCCGUGGAGGCGCCAAAAGCGCACCGCUGCUGCCCGGGGCUGCUGUUCCCAGCAGGAAGAGGACCCCAGCCACUGCGGGUCUGGCUCCGUCUUGC